GAGAUUUUUAAGUAACAUUAGCUUAUAGUCAAGAGUAGCGGUUCUCAACAUGGGCGGUACCGCCCCCCGGGGGGCGUUCAGAGGACGGCAGGGGGGGCUGGCGGACAUUUUUACAAAAGGGGGGCGCUGG
This is a long non-coding RNA of Poecilia latipinna (sailfin molly), 130 nucleotides long. RefSeq lists it as uncharacterized. NCBI's taxonomy places the organism in Eukaryota, Metazoa, Chordata, Actinopteri, Cyprinodontiformes, Poeciliidae. The transcript is spliced from 3 exons. The record is from RefSeq and is a predicted model, not a curated record.